GUCCUACGGGAGGCAGCAGUGAGGAAUAUUGGUCAAUGGGCGGGAGCCUGAACCAGCCAAGCCGCGUGAAGGAAGAAGGCGCCAAGCGUCGUAAACUUCUUUUGUCGGGGAACAAAGGGCGCCACGUGUGGCGUUGUGAGUGUACCCGAAGAAAAAGCAUCGGCUAACUCCGUGCCAGCAGCCGCGGUAAUACGGAGGAUGCGAGCGUUAUCCGGAUUUAUUGGGUUUAAAGGGUGCGUAGGCGGAUUUGUAAGUCAGCGGUAAAAAUGCGGUGCUCAACGCCGUAUCGCCGUUGAAACUGCGGG
Molecule: ribosomal RNA, 305 nt
Filed under: uncultured bacterium
Lineage: Bacteria
Description: bacterial SSU rRNA
Rfam family: Bacterial small subunit ribosomal RNA
Source: RNAcentral